GCAGCAGUGGGGAAUAUUGCACAAUGGCGAAAGCCUGAUGCAGCGACGCCGCNUGAGGGGUGACGGCNUUCGGGUUGUAAACCUCUUUCAGCAGGAAGAAGCGAAAGUGACGGUACCUGCAGAAGAAGCGCCGGCUAANUACGUGCCAGCAGCCGCGGUAAUACGUAGGGCGCAAGCGUUGUCCGGAAUUAUUGGGCGUAAAGAGCUCGUAGGCGGCUUGUCACGUCGAUUGUGAAAGCCCGAGGCUUAACCUCGGGUCUGCAGUCGAUACGGGCUAGCUAGAGUGUGGUAGGGGAGAUCGGAACUCCUGGUGUAGCGGUGAAAUGCGCAGAUAUCAGGAGGAACACCGGUGGCGAAGGCGGAUCUCUGGGCCAUUACUGACGCUGAGGAGCGAAAGCGUGGGGAGCGAACAGGAUUAGAUACCCUGGUAGUCCACGCCGUAAACGGUGGGAACUAGGUGUUGGCGACAUUCCACGUCGUCGGUGCCGCAGCUAACGCAUUAAGUUCCCCGCCUGGGGAGUACGGCCGCAAGGCUAAAACUCAAAGGAAUUGACGGGGGCCCGCACAAGCGGCGGAGCAUGUGGCUUAAUUCGACGCAACGCGAAGAACCUUACCAAGGCUUGACGUACACCGGAAACGUCCAGAGAUGGGCGCCCCCUUGUGGUCGGUGUACAGGUGGUGCAUGGCUGUCGUCGGCUCGUGUCGUGAGAUGUUGGGUUAAGUCCCGCAACGAGCGCAACCCUUGUCCCGUGUUGCCAGCAGGCCCUUGUGGUGCUGGGGACUCACGGGAGACCGCCGGGGUCAACUCGGAGGAAGGUGGGGACGACGCCAAGUCAUCAUGCCCCUUAUGUCUUGGGCUGCACAC
RNAcentral lists this ribosomal RNA (865 nucleotides) under uncultured Streptomyces sp. RNAcentral describes it as "bacterial SSU rRNA". It matches the Rfam family "Bacterial small subunit ribosomal RNA", at positions 348 to 1221 of the family's 1533-position model. The record is from RNAcentral. Lineage: Bacteria; Bacillati; Actinomycetota; Actinomycetes; Kitasatosporales; Streptomycetaceae.